This 265-nucleotide long non-coding RNA is filed under the name Phasianus colchicus (ring-necked pheasant). RNAcentral's name for it is "lncRNA (ENSPCLG00000021041.1)". Lineage: Eukaryota; Metazoa; Chordata; Aves; Galliformes; Phasianidae. The record is from RNAcentral.
CAGAGGAGUUGGACUAGAUGGCCUUUAGAGGUUCGUUCCAACUCUAAGGAUUCUAUGAUUCUAUAUAUGCUCUCAGCUAUCAGGGAAAUAUUCCUCACCAUCAGAGUUGUUAGAACUUACCAGCAUGUGGGACAUGCCAGCUACUGAAGAUAAAAGACUUGAUUAAGGGAGAAAAAGCAAUGGGCUCAUGAAGUAUGGCUGUUUGUCCUGUUUCCAACUUGCUGGGAUGGAGAAUCACAUAGCUCUUAAACCACCUACUAAUAAA